ACCCAAGUGCUGGAAUUGGUAGACGGGCUACGUUGAGGUCGUAGUGCACUAUGUGCGUGAGGGUUCGACUCCCUCCUUGGGUACUA
This 86-nucleotide transfer RNA is filed under the name Crocinitomicaceae bacterium. RNAcentral describes it as "tRNA-Leu". It matches the Rfam family "tRNA". From Rfam's summary of the family: Transfer RNA (tRNA) molecules are approximately 80 nucleotides in length. Their secondary structure includes four short double-helical elements and three loops (D, anti-codon, and T loops). Lineage: Bacteria; Pseudomonadati; Bacteroidota; Flavobacteriia; Flavobacteriales; Crocinitomicaceae. The record is from RNAcentral.